Molecule: long non-coding RNA, 229 nt
Filed under: Elaeis guineensis (African oil palm)
Lineage: Eukaryota; Viridiplantae; Streptophyta; Magnoliopsida; Arecales; Arecaceae
Description: long non-coding RNA (EGUI_LNC032669)
Source: RNAcentral
GGGCCAACAUACUUUCACGACUGGCUACUACCGCUUUCAACUCGCUGGGUCGGAUAUUUGUUGAAUUCCUCGAUCGAUCGAGUAUCGAUAAAGUCGAGGAGAUAUUACAGCUCACUAUCGAACCAAGCUGGAUGGAUCCGAUCAUUCAAUACCUGACCGAUGGAACCCUUUCUGCAGAUUCCUCGGAGGCUAAACGACUCCGAUGGAUGGCAUCUCAAUAUGUAAUAAU